GGUCUUUCCUGUGCUGUGCUCAUGAUAGUGAGUAAGCCUCACAUGGUCUGAUGGCUUUAUAAGGCUAAGUUUCCUAGCACAAGUUCUCUUUGCCUGCUGCAAUCCAUUUAAGAUGUGACUUGUUCCUCCUUGCCUUCUGCCAUGAUUGUGAGGCCUCCACAGCCAUGCGGAACUGUUGAAAUAUACACUACCUGAGGCUGGAUAACGCAUGAACUCUGUUGACAAUUAUAUUUUUUGUCUUUUUAAUUAACUCAUUUGGAGACAGUGUCCUGAGGACCUAAGCCUAAGAAUCUUCAAGAUGGAAGAGUAGAGUGAGCAAGGAAUGAGCCAGAAGGCUCUUGUCCUCUGUGUGCAGCUCUGGGCAGCCAGCAGGUGGAUAUGGGACUUGGCCUGCUGGAGGGGCCCUGGCAAGAGGAGCUGGCAGGAGCAGAUGGCAAAGAUCACUCACUCUGGGAGACACUGGCUUCCCUGUUGUGAGGACACUCAAGCAGCCCUAAUCAGAGGUCCAUGUGGUAAGGUACGAAGGCCUCCUGUCAAUUCUAGUGAGAAACCUAGGUUUCUUGCUAACAGCUAUGUGAGUGAGCCAUCUUGGAAGCAGAUUCUCCCACCCCAGAUGAGCCUUCAGAUGACUGGAGUUCCGGCUAAAUGCAAUCUCAUCAGAGACCUCAAGCCAAAAUUACCCCGCUUCCAAAUUCCUGACCCUACAGAAACUGUGUGAGAUAAUAUAUGCUUAUUGUUUAAGCCACUAAGUUGUUCUUUUGGUGGGGGGGAUGGGUGAUUUGUUAUGCAACAACAGAAAACUAAUACAGAAAUUAUACCUGCCAUUAUCAAACAGGCCUCCAGUGAGGGUUGAUGGUAUCCUUGAAUAUUUAGGGAAACUAAGCAUGUUAAGUGUAAAUACAGAAACUGUCUUUGUCAAAACUAAAUAAAGCAAGGGAAAUGGAACUUGAGUGGCUGAAAAUAAAGAUUGAAUGAAAACUCUCUAAUCCCUUGAUCAGAAGCCACGCAUAAUAAAUGACCCACCAUGUAUUUAUGUCAGUGGCUCUUUCUAUCACUAACUAUUACACAUUUUUCUGCAUUUCCCAGAACUGAGUGGGAGAUGAGAAGGGAAGGAGGUUUGGAGAUCACGUUUAGAAGAAGAGUAUGUGGGGCGGCUGUGACCACUCCUGCCAUGUGGACUAUAGUGCUUUUGUGAUCCGUUACCGUCACAAAAUAGAAAUGACACUAUACACUUAAUCACCAUCUGUUCCUCAUUUAUACACUCAGGUCCACUGUGGUUUGAGUACAUUGCUUUAUUUGAUUUAGAUUAGUUCACAAAGCAACAAACACGAGAAACCUGUUAUGAGGACAGAGGGUUCCUGCUAAGCAUUUUUUCUCUCCAGUGUCAGAAAUGUCCAGUAGUGCAAAUGGAUCCUGCAGAGUUCAAGGAGAAGAGCUUUCAUUUGGAAAGUCCUCUUGUGUACUCCAUCUCUUUUCAUUUGAUGGGGCUCUGUGUUCCCCACGUGUACUUUUUCAGAGGGGAGGCUGAAGCCCUGGCAAAGAUUCAGAAAUACUAACCAGCUCCUGUUUGAGUUCAUUACAGCGAAGUCAAUUUUUCUUUUUUCAUUAUUUUCUUUUUCUCUUCUUCCAGUGAUGCAACUUGGACCAAUUUCCACAGAGCUAAACCUCAGGGACAUAUUAUAUAGAUGGAGACAUAGGGUUCUGUUUUUUUUUUUUUUUUAAUAUUUUCAAUGUUGAAUCAUAGGCUAUUAGAGCUAGAGAAUGUCUUUGGAAUCCCUUGAUCUAGCAGUUUGGAAACUGAGUCCCACAGAGCCCUGGGGUUCCUUAGGAUUGCUCUGGGGUCAAUCCAGUUUUAUCUCUUUUCAUAUACUUGUGUUCUAUCCAUAUUAAACAAGAAGUUUUGAGGCCUCUGAUUUAGUCUACUGCACUCACAUUUAAGAUGUUUGAACUGAAGUUAAGAGAGAGAAAUUGAUUUGUGCAGUCAUAUAAUUUGUGAUGGUUGGUUUGAGCUGAGCCUCCAGUCUGGAGUUUCAGACUGCCUGGAGGGUGGUCUUCAAACACACCAUACCAUUUUCCAAAUAACAGGAUAAAUGUUACAUAUAGGGGUCUCAGCAGUAGAGCUGAUUCUGAAUGUGAAAUGGAAGGAUAUGGCCCAUUUUGGAUGGCUUUCAUCUCCUCCUUCUCCCCAGUGCAUUGACUUACAAAAUCAUUGAAAAGAUACUUUAUCUUGGCUAGAUUUUUAGUUACUAGUGCCUUCUGGCAUUUUACAUAUCUAGUCAAAUCAUUUUUCUUAGAAAUUAUACUGCAGAUAGAAAGAACCCCUUUCUUAAAGUCAUGGACACAUUUAAUAUUCUAAGAAUUUUGAAUUAUUAAAAAUAUCAUACCCCUAGCUCCCCCAAAAAGCCUAUCUUCACCUGGGUUGGAUCUGGACAAUGUAAAAGUGACACAGUAGGUGGCUCCCUUGAGCAAAAGUGAAACCAUUUUAAUUCACUAUGCUCCUGCAGUUUCUCUAGAAUAGAUGAGAACACCUGUGGCUUUAGGAACUGGAGAUCACUCAGCUGGCCUGCAGGGGCUGCUUAUCAAAGGGAAACAGCAUAAGGCAUUAAAAUCCCUCCAGUCCUGCCUAUGGGAAACUCAUCUGUAGAGGUCCUUUCUCUCUUUCUUUCUUUCUUUCUUUCUUUCUUUCUUUCUUUCUUUCUUUCUUUCUUUCUUUCUUUCUUUCUUUUUUCUUUUUUUUUUUUCUUUUUUGGAGACGAAGUCUCACUCUGUCGCCCAGGCUGGAGCGCAAUGGCGCGAUCUCGGGUCACUGCAACCUCCGCCUCCCAGGUUCAAGCUAUUCUCCUGCCUCAGCCCCCCGAGUAGCUGGGAUUACAAGCACCCGCCACCAUGCCCAGCUAAUUUUUGUAUUUUUAGUAGAGAUGGGUUUCACCAUGUUGGCAAGGCUGGUGUGGAACUCCUGACCUCGUGAUCUGCCUGCCUCGGCCUCCCAAAGUGCUGGGAUUACAGGCCUGAGCUACCGCACCCAGUUUUCUUUUUCUUUUUUUCUUUCUUUUUUUUUUUUGAGAAGGAGUCCUGCUCUGUUGCUCAGGCUGUAGAGCAGUGGUGCAAUCUCAGCUCACUGCAACCUCUGCCUCCCUCCCGGGUUUAAGCCAUUCUCGUGCCUCAGCCUCUGAGUAGCUGGGGCUACAGGUGCCCACCACCACGCCCGGCUAUUUUUUUGUAUUUUUAGUAGAGACGGGGUUUUGCCAUGUUGGCCAGACUGGUCUCGAACUCCUGGCUUCGAAUGAUCCGCUCGUCUCGGGCUCCCAAAAUGCUGGGAUUAUAGGCGUGAGCCACUGCACCCGGCAGAGAUUUUCAAUGUAAAACUUUCCACAAAGUUGUAAAGGAAUCAAUUUAAUUACAAAGCAAACAAUAAUUAAAAUUAUUUCUAAUUUUUCCAUGUGAAAAAACAUUUCAAACUUUGGUUGUAGCUUGGGUCGUUUAUGUUGUGAACUAGACAGAUAAAAGCAAGUGGUGUUUUCUGAAUUUUUCUCAGUCCCCCCUGUCUCUGGUUCCCUAUUUCCCUGCCAGCAGAUGACAAUUCAUUUUGAUAUUUGUAACCAACUGAAAACAUUCCUUCUGUGAACCUAAGUUGGAUAAAUAUGUCCACAGUGAAAGUAUUUUUCACCUGAUGAAAAUGAAACCAAAUUCCAGAUAUUUUCGUCUUUCUUAGUCUGUGAAAAGACUUUAUCAUGAAACUCUUGAAUUACUUAUCAGUAUGUAAAAUUGAGUCAAACUUAUAUUUUGACUGAGUAAAACCCACAGUUCUUGAAAUACUUCAGGAUUCUUGUUUACUUGAUCGAAUUGAUCGAUGGCUAGCAACAGACCUGUAAUCAUGUAUUUUAAUGUGAAUAAAGCUAAUUAAAUGUUUUU
Gorilla gorilla gorilla (western lowland gorilla) is the source of this 3912-nucleotide long non-coding RNA. RefSeq lists it as uncharacterized. Lineage: Eukaryota; Metazoa; Chordata; Mammalia; Primates; Hominidae. The record is from RefSeq and is a predicted model, not a curated record. The transcript has 3 exons.